RNAcentral lists this unclassified non-coding RNA (590 nucleotides) under Yarrowia lipolytica. The record is from RNAcentral. Lineage: Eukaryota; Fungi; Ascomycota; Dipodascomycetes; Dipodascales.
AUAAGUACUCGUACUGUAGCUCGAGUCCUCAGUCCUCUGACGUCCUCGGAGUGCCGCGUCAAAGUGCCCUCUGAACGUCUUGAGAACCACAACCACCUCCAAAUACAUACAGACGCCCGGCACUCACCAUAACGCAAUGACACAAGUGCGUACAGUACCUUGACCAGACUCGAGUCGAGAUAGUCCCAGCUACCUCAACAGGGUGCUGACAGAUGCGGUGGUUAUUGAUACGCCCAAGAAAGACAGACAGACUCUGUCCGAUCUAAUGGCUUAUUACUGCUGUCAGCCGAACUGGGUCACUGUGUCCAUUGCUGAACCCGUCACCGGACCCCUGGCUCGCUCUGCUAUAUCACCGCUUCUCCACACUCCCCUCUCGCCGGUCGUAAAUCGGGCGUCCUACCCACUUGUUACAUCGGCCGGGACGUUACCCUACUGGUUUUGUCCACACACUGCUUGUCUGCGAUUUGUGGGGAAACGUUUAAUCAGUCAUGGCUGUUGGUUUGGGUUUCAAUAGUGCAUUAGAAUGCAGCUAAUGCUGAGCCUCAGGACGAAUAAAUGAUAGUGUAAUCGAAAAACAAGAGGACCUGUAU